Alligator sinensis (Chinese alligator) is the source of this 6213-nucleotide RNA transcript. It is a transcript of the gene named cathepsin E-A-like, with no coding region annotated. NCBI's taxonomy places the organism in Eukaryota, Metazoa, Chordata, Crocodylia, Alligatoridae. The transcript has 13 exons. The record is from RefSeq and is a predicted model, not a curated record.
ACAAAAUUACCUAACAUAACAUACUGAAAGUUGCUUUUUUGUGUUUUAGAUUUCAGCCUUAUUGGCUCUGAUACUUUUUUGGAUUUUCCAUAUACUGGGGUCAGCAAACUUAGACUUCAUUGCAGGGUUAGGACAGUGAUAGUUGCAGUUUUGUUGAGGUUUUUAUCUAUUCAUGUAUAAUCAAGUGGCCUUAGCUGACAAAAAUGGCAUGUUAAAGCAGAACAGUUAAUGUUCUCUGUUACCAUGUUUCUUAUGUUCCACUAGCGUUAGGAAUGAAUGCUUGCUUGUACACGUUUCCAAUGAAUUUGAUGGAAAGCUAGAGUCCUUUAAAGAGAUGUGUACUAGUACAUAGGAAAAUGGGGCUUCAUCUGUGUUCUUUGCUUUAUUUUAAAAGCAGUGAGGAUAGUUUUGUUACUGCUCACUUCAGAAGGCAGCGUUUGGCUGUGUGACUUCAGACAAGAUGAAGAACAAAAUAGCGUGUGGAAGACACUGUUCUCUAGGAAACAGUGAAAAAGGCAGAUCAGUGAGGAAAAGUGUCACGCUCCUGGUAUGUGUGGUUAGACUUAGCUGCCUGAAAGAGUGCAUUUCCCUCUGGCCUCCCAUGAAUGUCCAACUGGGAUUUAGGGCGUGUGCAUGUUGGAGAUGGAAUUUCAAAGGGGCUGGAUGGAGACUGUAGAACUCACUGCUACAUGAGGAUCCCUUUAGUUCGAUUUAAAUCCAUCAAGAAGCAACUUCAUGAAAGGGGAGAUCUGGAGGUAUUUUGGAGUAAUCACCAACCUGACAUUUUUGCACGGAGAUACCUGCAUUGCUUCCCUUCAAAUAUCUUUUUACCAGCUACUUCAGAAAGGCUGUAUGAUUACAUGGAUGCCCAGUACUAUGGGGUGGUAAUGGUUGGGACCCCUCCUCAGAAAUUCACAGUGGUAUUCGACACUGGAUCGUCCAAUUUUUGGGUCCCUUCAGCCUACUGCAUCAGUGAAGCCUGCAGCGUUCAUGAAAGAUUCAAAUCCUUUCUAUCAAACUCCUAUCAGCAUGGAGGUCAAGCCUUUUCUCUACAGUAUGGUACUGGGCAGCUUCUAGGCAUUGCUGGCAAAGACACAGUACAAAUUAGCAAUAUUUCUAUAGAGGCACAGGAUUUUGGAGAGUCUGUCUUUGAACCAGGCAUGACCUUUGCCCUUGCACACUUUGAUGGAGUGCUGGGUUUAGGAUAUCCAUCUUUGGCAGUCGGCAACCCUCUUCCAGUGUUUGACAGUAUGAUGAACCAACGCUUAGUAGAGGAGCCAGUGUUUUCUUUCCACUUGAACAGAGGAAACGACAUUGAAAAUGGUGGAGAAUUGAUCUUAGGGGGCAUAGAUCAUUCCCGCUACAAAGGUUCAAUUCAUUGGGUCCCAGUCACUGAGAAAAGCUACUGGCAAAUUCACGUUAACAACGUGAAAAUCCAGGGACGGAUUGUGUUUUGUGCUCACGGUUGUGAAGCCAUUGUUGAUUCAGGAACUUCUCUUAUUACUGGCCCCUCUUCCCAAAUAAGACGCCUUCAGGAGUCCAUCGGGGCAAGUCCAACGCAAACUGGAGAGUUCAUUGUAGACUGCAGAAGACUCUCAAGCUUGCCACAUAUAAGCUUCACUAUUGGACACAAAGAAUACAAGUUAACAGCGGAACAGUAUAUAAUAAAGAUCAUAGUUAUGAACAUCAACAUACUAAGAACCAUGCUGAGUAGCUACCAGAGGACACUCUUCAGGCAAAGCAGUUUGAAUCUUCGCAAUGGAAAAGGGAACUGAAGAACAUGAAGUGGAGCAGGGGAAUGAAGAAGUAUCUUUGAAAUGAGCAAUAUGUGGUAACGAUGGAGAGAAAUCUUAUAGUUAUGGCACUGACCUGGAACAUAGGAGAUUUAGACUCACUUCUAGUCACUGCCACAGACAUGGUGUAUGACUUUAGGCAAGUCAUAUUUUUUCUGUUUCUUCAUUCCCCAUUUCUAAAAGGGAGAUACAAAAAUACUCCUUUUCUCCCAUAUUUUGUUUUGUCUAUUUAGGCCCAAAUUCUGAGAUUUACAACUUGUGGCUGAAUUAUUGGGCUCACACAAAGCCACCGGGGUCCUGAAUGGCUGUGGAAGACUGCAGGGGCAUUAGAAAUUGCUGGGUCCUUCUGACCUUUACGCACAAGGAAGUGCCAACCUGCAUGACUAAAAGUCAAAGAAAACUAAAAAGCUUGAUUCCUGCCAGCUGUCCAUGUCUAUGGCUCUUACAGGCAUCAGCAGGGAUUCCACAUGUAGCUACCUGCCAAUUACUUAUUAAGGAGUCCUAAGAGAUGGAUGAAGAAUUAUGCUCAGAAAUCCCACAGCUACAGAGACAACAGACUGAACCAUGUUCCCUAGACCUGCAGAAGGAAGGCAACCUUUGCAUGGCAGCCUGCCCUACUUACUUCUGAGCCAGGGUGCUAUUAUCUUUCAUACAGCCUUCCCUGUGUCCUGUGAAACUUUCUGUUUGACUAUUACAAGAGGAUUUUGGGGAAGAUGGAGUUGGAGCUAGGGGAGUUUUUCUAGCAACUCAGCUCUGCAGGAAUGAUGCUGUUUAAAGCUGAAGUGGAAGCAGCUGGCUGAAGAGGUGGUGCGAAGGCCAGGGACCUUUGUGCAAGGCCUAGGCUGCAGGUCAGUCUCUGCAUUAGGAAAAAUGGCUUCUCCAGGUCUUUUCCAUCCUCUUCUCCCUGCUGCGUUAAUGGCCUGGGAAAAAUCAUCCUAGCUCCUGGCUCUGAUUUCUGUAGGAAAUAAACUGCCCCACUGUCACAUGCGAUCUAAUCCCAAAUUUCAGUCUGAGGAAAUAAUCGUUUUCUGAACAGCCUAAUGCUAACAGAACUGUGUUUUUAAAAUGUAUUUAGUAUUGUGUUCAAUGAAACCUCAGCAUCCCUGCAUUGUUCUGCUGCCUGUGAGCCAGAAGGUGAGCUUAGUGAGAAAGUGCCUGUAAGCUAAAGUCUCUUAGAAAACCCUAGACAUGAGGGAAAUGAUUGGCUCCUUGGUUAUGUCCAUUUCUUUUGUGCCCGAGUUCUCUCUCACCUGUGUUAUUGUGAGCUCCUUGAUUUUCAUCCAGUCUGUGCAAAGCACAGCAGCUAAAAUAAUCUUUUGGACAAUCUAAAAAAACUGACUUUGAUCUCAUACUAUUAGUUGUUAUUUUAUUGUAUUUUAUAGCAGUGCUUAUAGGUCACAGGGCCCUAUUAUGCUAGGUGGUGUGUUAGUACAUAGGCUGCAAUCUUAUACUUAUUCACCUGCUUAACCUUGCUCCUAAAGCAGCCUUGUUAAAGUCAGGAAGCAGGCGGAUAACUGUUUUCAGGAUAAGGGCCAAAACAACAGACAGAUAAACAAAGGGUGGGAAGGAAAAUAGAGAUGUGAAGUGGCUUGAGUGAUCUUUUACCAUAUUCUUUUUAUGUACAUGAUAGUCAGGGUUGGAUCCGGGGGGAAUACAGUGAUGCAGUUGGUCCCCCAACUUUAUUUCCUGGUUCACCCAGAGUUUAAAACCAACUGCCUGGGCCUGCAACAGCAUUUCUAUUCAGGCAGCAGUGAGAGAAUCAGUUGACUUCAUGGAUGAUUGUAAACUACCUGCUUCCUUCUAAACUAUUCAGUACACAGGUGUUAAUGCCCCUAUCCCCUUUUUAAUGGUAUUGAUGUUCUAAUCAAGCUGUCCUUUCUUUUGCAGUUCUGUUAUUUGUUAGUUGCUCCUGGUAAUCUAGCUCCUAUUUCACCACCCUGCAGACUGCUUUUAACUAUAGCUAAAAACAUUAACUUAGAUGUAGAACUGUUAACUCACAUGAACAUUAACUUGGGUGCAGAAAUAGCUUUCAGUGCAAUCCUGGAUGCACUGUCAAGCUGCUCAAGAAGACUAAGUUUUGUUUUAUGAAUCUGAAAGAGAUGAACAUUUGAUUCUAAAGACUACAAGACUAAUGAAACAACAGCUUUAACUUAUUUUUGCCUCGUUGUAUUUUUUAUUCACAGUACAUGAUAUAACAAAUGAAUGCUUUGAUCUUAAACUGAAUAAUAUAGCCCUAGCCCCUUGGCAUAUUAGCAAAGCCUCCAGUUUCUUCUUAGUUUCUGGAGAAAAAUGUGUUGUGUUAUAUUUGAUUAUGCAUUACACCAUCUCCACUCCUCUUUUCAAAAUCCUAAAUUCACCCAUGAAGAUAAUGACAUCAUUUAAGGUAAUACAUUACUACUUUCCCAGUAUAUUUCUGUAAUGGGUUUUGCUGUGUAAAGGUGGAACAUCCUAGAGCUGAGGUAGAAGGAGUUUAAUUCCAGGUUUCAGAACCAUUUCAAGGAGGCAGUCCCAUGUGGGAACUAAUUUGGUACUGAUGAGAUUAUUCAGUAAGAGCAGUUUCAAGGUGUUUGGGGAGCAAUGGAGUUUCCUAGUUUGCUUUGUAUGGCUUGUUGGUUUGGGACUCCUGCUUGGGGUGCUACAUGAGAGCUUUGGGAUAUGUAUUGUAUUGUAUUAAUUUGGAUUAAAGCAAGUCUCAUUAAAUCAAACCCUAUACAGAGAUGGUAAUUUGUUCUCAAACAUAAGAGCCAGUUGUAAAUGCAUGUCAAUUAUUAAUAGCGGUUAUAGUGCAGUCAUAGUAUGUCAAUAAUUAAUUAGAGUUAUAAUUCUGUUGUAAUAGUUCGUAUUCGUCUUCUAUAGGUUUUCUGUAUGAAGGUAGUCUGUAUUAUGCACCCAUUCAGCUGAAGAAUCCCUGGGAUGUCCUCCUUCGCAGGGGACCUUACGCCCAUAAUCUCACCUACCAUGACUUGAUAAUAAGAAAAGGGAUGUCUAGGAGGGAGGUUUUUCUGCGAGGAUGAUCCUAGGAUUUACCUUAGUACAAUGAGGGCUCCACCUUCCCCUAUACCCUCUCCCAUUCCACCGGGUAGGUAACAUGAAUAAUUGAUUGUUCACGGGGUUUCACCCCAAUAGAUUCUUGUUUUCUACUUGAAACAAAACAGGCGUGAUUCUUGUUAACCUCUUCAUAAGAACUCCGUUCUGACCUUUGACGUAAUGUCCCUGGGCUACACAGCCUGAUAGCCACUACUCAGGCAACAAAGUGUUAUCACAGUUCUGCUCUCUGCAGCAAGUUGCCCUCACCAGGUUCAGUCAAAAGAAGGAAGAAACUAAAGAGGCAAUUCUUGGUUUACCAUUGUUGUUUAAAUCAGAGCUUCAACCAUGCUCUUUGAUUUAUUCCCUGCCGGCUGAGCUGCCGAAGCUCAGGAUCAGGGCUCCUGCAUUGCAACCUUCACAGUGAUGUCCUGAUCAGCUGCAACCUUGCAGCCUGCCUUAGGACUGCUGGAGCUUGCCUUUUCCCCUUCCCUGCUCAGUGAAUUCUCCUCUCUCUGCUCCAGGGUGGACACUUCUGGUUCUGUUUUUUCCUCCCAGUGUCCUGGAGUCCCAGUCCUUUUCUUUUCCCCGGUCUGCUCCAAGUUCCUCUUUAGCCUGGUUCUUGGGCUCCUCUCCCCACUCCGACAGAAGCACCAGGGGAAAAAAAGACUCUUUUCGAGCAGUUUGGCUAUGUUGAUGGUGCCACUGCAGGUAAGCACAUGCUACACCUUGAUCCUCCUUUCCCUUCCCUGGGUGUUUCUUUCCUACCUCACAAUGCAUCAUUUGGUUUGCUGACUCUGUCCCUGAAAUGGAUUCUAAUAGCUGGUGGAUUCUUAUAUCUAACAAGGCAGUGUAAGAGUUAGCCAUGAGCUACGGACUGCACUAUAACAGUGAUGUAAUUAUAGUACGUUGUGUAAAUUUAUAUAUAAAAAUGUCAGUAUGGCACAUCUUAAAGCACAGAAGCAUUGGGGAAAAUAACUUUGAUAAAAUGGAGCUUAUUAGUUCUCAGGGUUUCCCACAUCAAAUCUUCUCAGUGGAAAUUAAAGAGAUAGUAUUUCAGACUUUAAGUGCUGCGUGUUUGAAGAUCAAGCUGUGUUCUCUCUGAUCUCUCCCAUGUAAUACAGAUUUUGCAAUCAGGAUGCCAAGUCUAAUUUUGCUAAUGAUGCAUGAAACAGCACAACAUAGAAAAUAUAUGAGAACAUAUUCAAUUGGUUUUGUAAGUAAAGUAAGUGGAUAAGAUGCUAUGACAGAGCACAAGAUGUUGGUGCCUGCCACUUUAAGGUCUGAGCCAAGCAGCCAGAAGGUGCUUGAUUGCAAUGGCCAUUUUAGACUUCUGGCUGCCUAUAUAAAGAGAGCAGUUCACUGCUGGCAGACAAGGCAGAACCAUUGCCUGGCU